This is a long non-coding RNA of Pomacea canaliculata, 483 nucleotides long. RefSeq lists it as uncharacterized. The record is from RefSeq and is a predicted model, not a curated record. NCBI's taxonomy places the organism in Eukaryota, Metazoa, Mollusca, Gastropoda, Architaenioglossa, Ampullariidae. The transcript has 3 exons.
CUAACUUGCGCCAGACGUGAAAUUGACAACUUUGAAAUGACGUAAGCGACCGUCUUGUCGUCUGCUUUAAUCAAUGUCCAGAGAGGCAACACCUGAAGCUAGCAGGCAGUGUGAGUUGGAAGGCGAAGAAUUUCGUUUUAAAGUUGCUGUCUAAGCAACUCAAAGAAAGUUAUCUGAUGCAACUUAAACUGAUGAGCCCGAUAAGACUGAUGGGCUUGUCCACUGAUGGACAUGUAGAUGGCAGAGAUGCAAAGAAGAGGGUAUGGCGGUGGGCGAAGAACUAGUCAGUCGGCCUGAGCAGAGAGCAGCGCAAGAGACGGGCGAAGUGAUGAACGGAUUUGGGCGAUUACAGAAGAGCGUGCCAUGUUCAGAGGAUCCCACUACUGCUGGUGCUCUUCAUCAUACUAGCACCACCACCCCACCACCGCCACCACUAACUACAACAGCAACGCCCAUCAAUCCACCCACAACUUGAAAGAAAAA